RNAcentral lists this unclassified non-coding RNA (144 nucleotides) under uncultured Mortierella. RNAcentral's name for it is "sequence contains ITS1". The record is from RNAcentral. Lineage: Eukaryota; Fungi; Mortierellomycota; Mortierellomycetes; Mortierellales; Mortierellaceae.
CAAUAAGUGUUCAAUGGCACUUUAAAAUCCAUUACCCACCUUGUGUGCAAUGUAAGGAGGAGGGGGUGUCACAACCCCCUCUUUCAUUAUACAUACCAAUCUUCUCUUGUUGUCUAACUUUUUGAGUAUAAAAAAACUCGAAUA